This 497-nucleotide ribosomal RNA is filed under the name uncultured bacterium. RNAcentral describes it as "partial 16S ribosomal RNA". It matches the Rfam family "Bacterial small subunit ribosomal RNA", at positions 28 to 507 of the family's 1533-position model. The record is from RNAcentral.
GAUGAACGCUGGCGGCGUGCCUAACACAUGCAAGUCGAGCGAACAGAUAAGGAGCUUGUUCGGUGGUCGAUAGCGGCAGAGGGGAGUGUAACACGUGUGAAACCCACCUAUAAGACUGGAAUAAUUCCGGGAAACCGGGGCUAAUGCCGGAUAACAUUUAGAACCGCAUGGGUCUAAAGUGAAAGAUGGCUGUGGUAUCACGUAUAGAGGGAUCUGCGCUGUAUGAGCUAGUUGGGAAGGUAACGGGUUUCGAAGGCUACGAUGGGUAGACGAACUGAGAGAGGGAUCGGCCACCCGGGAGGGGAGACAGGGUCAAGACGCCUGCGGGAGGGCGCAGUAGGGAAUCUUACGCAAUGGGGGAGAGCCUGACGGAGCAAGGGGGAGUGAGUGAUGAAGGUGUUCGGAGCGUGAAGAUCUGUUAUUAGGGAAAAACAAAUGUGUAAGUAGCUGUGCAGGUCUUGACGGUAACUGAUCAGGAAGCCACGGCUAACUACGUG